CUUGCUCGCAACCAAGCUGGGGAUUGUCCUCGGACGAUUUCUGGCAGGGGAGCUUGCGAGUGGACGGCCUUGGCUUGUCUUUCGGGGCAGUUCCGAUGCACGCUUAACAACCGACUUAGAACUGGUGCGGACAAGGGGAAUCUGACUGUCUAAUUAAAACAUAGCAUUGCGAUGGCCAGAAAGUGGUGUUGACGCAAUGUGAUUUCUGCCCAGUGCUCUGAAUGUCAAAGUGAAGAAAUUCAACCAAGCGCGUGUGCAGAUCACUUGAAUGGGAACGGGGUACUGUACGGAAAGUGGACCCAAUUUCAUUAGGAAAGUGUAAUGAAAAAGUGUAGUGAAAAGUGUAGCCAAAGUGUAGGAAACUGGACGCAAUUUUCAUUA
Ribosomal RNA from Hydnomerulius pinastri MD-312, 381 nucleotides. It matches the Rfam family "Eukaryotic large subunit ribosomal RNA", at positions 1991 to 2341 of the family's 3401-position model. The record is from Rfam. NCBI's taxonomy places the organism in Eukaryota, Fungi, Basidiomycota, Agaricomycetes, Boletales.